ACCGGCAGUAGCUGCAUGUAUAUGUUCGUUAGAGCCUAUUACAUGCGCGGAAAGGCGCCCAUUAGUGCGUCACCCCCAGGGGGUAUGAAUAACCUUAUGAUUGGUCCUCCUGCGGGUGCCUUGGUCCGGGGCUGUUUUUUUCCCGGGGCACAUACCCGGCGCAGGCAACAAUUUGUUAACAUUAUGAUUGGGUUUGGGAGUUGUAAAAUCUCUUGUGUCCCGCCCCCAUGAACACCUACGGAAAAUGCGAUAAGUAAUGUGAAUUGCAGAAUUCAGUGAAUCAUCGAAUCUUUGAACGCACAUUGCGCCCGCCAGUAUUCUGGCGGGCAUGCCUGUCCGAGCGUCAUUUCAACCCUCGAACCCCUCCGGGGGGUCGGCGUUGGGGAUCGGCCCUGCCUUGGCGGUGGCCGUCUCCGAAAUACAGUGGCGGUCUCGCCGCAGCCUCUCCUGCGCAGUAGUUUGCACACUCGCAUCGGGAGCGCGGCGCGUCCACAGCCGUUAAACACCCAACUUCUGAAAUGUUGACCUCGGAUCAGGUAGGAAUACCCGCUGAACUUAAGCAUAUCAAUAAAGACGGGAAGAAUG
This 585-nucleotide ribosomal RNA is filed under the name Trichoderma virens. Its description in RNAcentral is "eukaryotic LSU rRNA". The stretch from base 198 to 346 matches the Rfam family "5.8S ribosomal RNA". Lineage: Eukaryota; Fungi; Ascomycota; Sordariomycetes; Hypocreales; Hypocreaceae. The record is from RNAcentral.